GCUGCUUUCUCUAGGUAAAGCAAUGAGUCUGCUUACAGCCACCUGGCAAAUGUCACCUGCUCCAGGAAGCCUUCCCUGAUGGCCCGAGUCCUCCCCCACCUCCCGCUCUGCCCUUUGGCCAUGGCAACAACCAGAAAGAUGACACGCAGCC
Lutra lutra (Eurasian river otter) is the source of this 151-nucleotide long non-coding RNA. RefSeq lists it as uncharacterized. NCBI's taxonomy places the organism in Eukaryota, Metazoa, Chordata, Mammalia, Carnivora, Mustelidae. The transcript has 3 exons. The record is from RefSeq and is a predicted model, not a curated record.